Molecule: ribosomal RNA, 468 nt
Filed under: uncultured bacterium
Lineage: Bacteria
Description: partial 16S ribosomal RNA
Rfam family: Bacterial small subunit ribosomal RNA
Source: RNAcentral
GACGAACGCUGGCGGCGUGCUUAACACAUGCAAGUCGAACGGAAAGGCCCUGCUUUUGUGGGGUGCUCGAGUGGCGAACGGGUGAGUAACACGUGAGUAACCUGCCCUUGACUUUGGGAUAACUUCUGGAAACUGGGGCUAAUACCGGAUAGGAGCUCCGGCUGCAUGGUGGGGGGCGGAAAGUUUCGGCGGUUGGGGAUGGACUCGCGGCUUAUCAGCUUGUUGGUGGGGUAGUGGCUUACCAAGGCUUUGACGGGUAGCCGGCCUGAGAGGGUGACCGGCCACAUUGGGACUGAGAUACGGCCCAGACUCCUACGGGAGGCAGCAGUGGGGAAUAUUGCACAAUGGGCGGAAGCCUGAUGCAGCAACGCCGCGUGCGGGAUGACGGCCUUCGGGUUGUAAACCGCUUUCGCCUGUGACGAAGCGUGAGUGACGGUAAUGGGUAAAGAAGCACCGGCUAACUACGUG